CACUGGGUCUUACCCGAGCCGUGAGGAACCGGUUGCCUGUAGUGGGCACGGUUUGGUGCACAACAAACGUUGAGCCGCAAGGGAUUUUGCGGUGAUGGGACUGCCAGACACACUAUUGGGCUUUGAGACAACAGGCCCGUGCCCCUUUUUUGGGGGGUGGCAUCCGGUUGCGGGUGUCGGCGUGUUGUUGCCUCACUUUGGUGGUGGGGUGUGGUGUUUGAUUUGUGGAUAGUGGUUGCGAGCAUCUAGCACGCAGUGUGGCUGGGGGCCUUCGGGUUUCCGGUCUUGUUGUGUGUUGAUGUGCAAUUUCUUUUGAAACUCAUUUUUGGUUUUUGUGUUGUAAGUGUCU
This 349-nucleotide unclassified non-coding RNA is filed under the name Mycolicibacterium fortuitum. RNAcentral's name for it is "partial 16S-23S ribosomal RNA intergenic spacer". Lineage: Bacteria; Bacillati; Actinomycetota; Actinomycetes; Mycobacteriales; Mycobacteriaceae. The record is from RNAcentral.